GAUGAAGAACGUAGCGAAAUGCGAUAAGUAGUGUGAAUUUCAGAAUUCAGUGAAUCAUCGAAUCUUUGAACGCACAUUGCGCCCCUUGGUAUUCCAUGGGGCAUGCCUGUUCGAGCGUCAUUUGUACCUUCAAGCUCUGCUUGGUGUUGGGUGUUUGUCUCGCCUCUGCGUGUAGACUCGCCUCAAAACAAUUGGCAGCCGGCGUAUUGAUUUCGGAGCGCAGUACAUCUCGCGCUUUGCACUCAUAACGACGACGUCCAAAAGUACAUUUUUACACUCUUGACCUCGGAUCAGGUAGGGAUACCCGCUGAACUUAAGCAUAUCAAUAAGCGGAGGA
This 337-nucleotide unclassified non-coding RNA is filed under the name soil metagenome. Its description in RNAcentral is "partial contains 5.8S ribosomal RNA, internal transcribed spacer 2, and large subunit ribosomal RNA". The stretch from base 1 to 120 matches the Rfam family "5.8S ribosomal RNA", at positions 35 to 154 of the family's 154-position model. The record is from RNAcentral.